Non-coding RNA from Camelina sativa (false flax), 924 nucleotides. NCBI's taxonomy places the organism in Eukaryota, Viridiplantae, Streptophyta, Magnoliopsida, Brassicales, Brassicaceae. The record is from RefSeq and is a predicted model, not a curated record.
GUUAUUUAUUUUUUUGAACAAAAAGGUGCAACAGAAGUAGAACUCGACAAGGAACCAGAAUUGUCUCAAGCCAAAGGCAGUAAUCAUAAAAUUGUAUAAGGGAAACGAGUGUUAACUACCAAUCUGAUUCAUCAAAAUCAAAGCCAUCAAAAGAAAAAAAACUAGAUGGUGGAAAAUCAAGACAUGUGUGCCAAUUAUUGUUUCCAUGGCGUUUCUUCUUCUUCAACUUUCUCUCAUCUGAUUUGAUCGACCAACUAAAGUGAUGAUCGGAGGAGCCGGAUGAUGGCGUUUCUUCUUCUGAUUUGACCGACCGCCAAGUACAGGUCAGAGAGAUGGAUUGAAGAAUGAAGAAGAAGAAUACUCAAGUCUGCUUUAUCUCAGAGAGAUGGAUUGAAGAGUGCAGAAGAAGAAGACUUAAGCAGACUGCUUAAGCCAGCACACACAUAUAUCUUCAGUGAUCCUAAUGGAAGUUUUAUGAAGACACUCUGAAUUUUGAGUUACUACUGUACGUGGGCUUUCAUCAUCUCCUCCAUGGCAACAUUUGAAGGAUCAUUUGCGGAGAGCUGGUGAUGUCUUCUUUAAUUUGCUGAGGUCACUCGAGACAGCUUCUGAGUCUUCCUCCUUGUCCACUUCAAAUUCUCCCCAUCCAUAAGUUAUGUUGCAGUCUUACACAACGAUGGUCAAAUCCUAUUCUGGAGAUUGAAUUGGCGUUUGUUUCAUGAGUCAAGAGAGACGACCACAAAUCUAUGAUACUGUUAAUCUUCCGGAGAGUGUUGGGGUUUUAACAAGAGGAGCCAAGAAUCAGUAUACCUGCAGGUCAGAGGUUGAUUGAAGAAUGAAAAAGAUGACUCAUACUGCUUAAGCAUACACAGACAUCUUCGGUGAUCCUAAUGGAAGUUAUAAGAAGACACACUGAAUUCUGAG